This 253-nucleotide ribosomal RNA is filed under the name uncultured bacterium. RNAcentral's name for it is "partial 16S ribosomal RNA". It matches the Rfam family "Bacterial small subunit ribosomal RNA", at positions 524 to 776 of the family's 1533-position model. The record is from RNAcentral.
UACGUAGGGGGCAAGCGUUGUCCGGAAUCAUUGGGCGUAAAGAGCGCGUAGGCGGCCCGAUAAGUCCGCUGUGAAAGUCGGGGGCUCAACCCUCGGAUGCCGGUGGAUACUGUCGGGCUUGAGUACGGAAGAGGCGAGUGGAAUUCCUGGUGUAGCGGUGAAAUGCGCAGAUAUCAGGAGGAACACCAAUUGCGAAGGCAGCUCGCUGGGACGUUACUGACGCUGAGACGCGAAAGCGUGGGGAGCAAACAGG